Anolis carolinensis (green anole) is the source of this 470-nucleotide long non-coding RNA. RefSeq lists it as uncharacterized. The record is from RefSeq and is a predicted model, not a curated record. The transcript has 3 exons. NCBI's taxonomy places the organism in Eukaryota, Metazoa, Chordata, Lepidosauria, Squamata, Anolidae.
GAGGUUCAAGAAACAGGCAAAGCCUUCUGAUAACAUUCUGGUUCCGGAUUCUGUCUGUCAACAUUUUCACCAAACUUUAGUUAUGAAGACUUCUUACUCCAUUUUUGCUGUUACGUUAUGGAUGCUCUUGAUGGUUCCAGGCUCUACUGGCUAUGUAACCGAUUAUUCUCAAUGUAAAAGUGCUAACGGCUUCUGUAGCUCACAUCCAUGUGAAUUGGAUUAUCGCAUUCUUGGAGAAUGUUCUCCUGACAAUCCUUGCUGUUCCAGCAAAUAUUUACGUGUCUAAGAAUGGAGUCUUGGAAGGAACCACUGUUCAGUUUGCCAAUUCUACAUUACUUGUGGAUGACUGCUAAUUCUUGUAUUUGGCUUCCAAAUAGAAGAAAGAAGAGAGACCUUGUAGCACCAGAUGAAGGAUUUUCCCAUUGUGAAAUUAUUAUACUGUCAAUAAACAAGUAAUAGUGUUGUGUAAA